GACGAACGCUGGCGGCGUGCUUAACACAUGCAAGUCGAACGGAAAGGCCCUGCUUGCAGGGUACUCGAGUGGCGAACGGGUGAGUAACACGUGGGUGAUCUGCCCUGCACUUCGGGAUAAGCCUGGGAAACUGGGUCUAAUACCGGAUAGGAGCCAUUUUUAGUGUGAUGGUUGGAAAGUUUUUUCGGUGUAGGAUGAGCUCGCGGCCUAUCAGCUUGUUGGUGGGGUAAUGGCCUACCAAGGCGGCGACGGGUAGCCGGCCUGUGGGGGUGGACGGCCACAUUGGGACUGAGAUGCGGCCCAGACUCCUACGGGAGGCAGCAGUGGGGAAUAUUGCACAAUGGGCGCAAGCCUGAUGCAGCGACGCCGCGGGGGGGAUGACGGCCUUCGGGUUGUAAACUACUUUCGCUAGGGACGAAGCUUUUUGUGACGGUACCUAGACAAGAAGCACCGGCUAACUACGUG
This 465-nucleotide ribosomal RNA is filed under the name uncultured bacterium. RNAcentral's name for it is "partial 16S ribosomal RNA". It matches the Rfam family "Bacterial small subunit ribosomal RNA", at positions 28 to 507 of the family's 1533-position model. The record is from RNAcentral.